Molecule: ribosomal RNA, 523 nt
Filed under: uncultured bacterium
Lineage: Bacteria
Description: bacterial SSU rRNA
Rfam family: Bacterial small subunit ribosomal RNA
Source: RNAcentral
AGUGGGGAAUCUUGCACAAUGGAGGAAACUCUGAUGCAGCGAUGCCGCGUGAGUGAAGAAGGCCCUUGGGUUGUAAAGCUCUUUCGUCGGGGAAGAAAAUGACUGUACCCGAAUAAGAAGGUCCGGCUAACUUCGUGCCAGCAGCCGCGGUAAUACGAAGGGACCUAGCGUAGUUCGGAAUUACUGGGCUUAAAGAGUUCGUAGGUGGUUGAAAAAGUUAGUGGUGAAAUCCCAGAGCUUAACUCUGGAACUGCCAUUAAAACUUUUCAGCUAGAGUAUGAUAGAGGAAAGCAGAAUUUCUAGUGUAGAGGUGAAAUUCGUAGAUAUUAGAAAGAAUACCAAUUGCGAAGGCAGCUUUCUGGAUCAUUACUGACACUGAGGAACGAAAGCAUGGGUAGCGAAGAGGAUUAGAUACCCUCGUAGUCCAUGCCGUAAACGAUGUGUGUUAGACGUUGGAAAUUUAUUUUCAGUGUCGCAGCGAAAGCGAUAAACACACCGCCUGGGGAGUACGACCGCAAGGUUA